GAUGAACGCUGGCGGCGUGCCUAAUACAUGCAAGUCGAGCGAACGGACGAGAAGCUUGCUUCUCUGAUGUUAGCGGCGGACGGGUGAGUAACACGUGGAUAACCUACCUAUAAGACUGGGAUAACUUCGGGAAACCGGAGCUAAUACCGGAUAAUAUUUUGAACCGCAUGGUUCAAAAGUGAAAGACGGUCUUGCUGUCACUUAUAGAUGGAUCCGCGCUGCAUUAGCUAGUUGGUAAGGUAACGGCUUACCAAGGCAACGAUGCAUAGCCGACCUGAGAGGGUGAUCGGCCACACUGGAACUGAGCCACGGUCCAGCCUCCUACGGGAGGCAGCAGUAGGGAAUCUUCCGCAAUGGGCGAAAGCCUGACGGAGCAACGCCGCGUGAGUGAUGAAGGUCUUCGGAUCGUAAAACUCUGUUAUUAGGGAAGAACAUAUGUGUAAGUAACUGUGCACAUCUUGACGGUACCUAAUCAGAAAGCCACGGCUAACUACGUG
This 497-nucleotide ribosomal RNA is filed under the name uncultured bacterium. RNAcentral's name for it is "partial 16S ribosomal RNA". It matches the Rfam family "Bacterial small subunit ribosomal RNA", at positions 28 to 507 of the family's 1533-position model. The record is from RNAcentral.